CGUGUAGGCGGUCUGCUAAGUCAUGUGUGAAAGCCCUCGGCUUAACCGAGGAACGACGCAUGAAACUGGCAAGCUAGAGUACCAAAGAGGGGGGUGGAAUUCCCGGUGUAGCGGUGAAAUGCGUAGAUAUCGGGAGGAGCACCGGUGGCGAAGGCGGCCCCCUGGUUGGAUACUGACGCUGAGACGCGAAAGCGUGGGGAGCAAACA
RNAcentral lists this ribosomal RNA (207 nucleotides) under uncultured bacterium. RNAcentral's name for it is "partial 16S ribosomal RNA". It matches the Rfam family "Bacterial small subunit ribosomal RNA", at positions 568 to 774 of the family's 1533-position model. The record is from RNAcentral.